UUCACAAGAACAAAACUGACAUGGAAGAAAUUUAUAAAAUCGUGAUCAUUAUGAAGAAAGUUCGGGAUGAUUAUGAAAGCGUGAAAGCAAGCUGCUUGAUGGAGAUGCAGCGCAAGGGGGAGGAGCAGACAAUAAAGAACCUGAUCAUCCGCAUAGACGGCGCAUUAAAGCAGAUCCGUAUAACGCAGGACCAAUACCAGCAAAUUCAAAUGGGAUAAAACAAGAACACAGUGAACCGUACUCAGUGAACACAGCAGUCGAUGCAACGCGAUAGGGAGUGGAUAUAAAAAAGUAACAAAGACCCAGAAGAUACAAAUGCACUAAAACAAGAAACCGACAAGUACAAGUACACGGCGUGCCAGCCAGCAGGUGACACAGAACUAAAUAACUAAAUAACUAACUAAAUAAAUAAUAAUA
Drosophila obscura is the source of this 417-nucleotide long non-coding RNA. RefSeq lists it as uncharacterized. The transcript has 2 exons. Lineage: Eukaryota; Metazoa; Arthropoda; Insecta; Diptera; Drosophilidae. The record is from RefSeq and is a predicted model, not a curated record.